AAUGCAGACGCUCAUCUCGCCCGUGAGCAAGGCGCUGCUGGUGGGUCUGUUCAUCUUCGCCAUCCUGCUCAUCCUCUACGUCAUCCUCUGGUACAUCUGCCGCGACGUCGACUGCGACCACGGACUCUGAGGCCUCGAACCCCCCCCUAACAACAACAACAACAACAAUAACAAUAAUCAUCAUCAUAAGCAGCCCACCAGCCUCCCCUGAAACGCAGCCAACCAAAGCCGCGAUAGAAGCCGAGCGGCGGAGAGAGAGACAGACAAACCCCUGCAGCCCUGCUCCAGCACUCGUGAAGCUUCGCCCCUGCAGGUGGGGACCAGGGGCUUGAACCCGGGUCCUUGUGCCUGGGAACAGGUGCCCUCAGCCAGGAGCCAUGGCCCAGGACGCCCGGCCCCCCGAGACCCGCCGGGCCCAGAAGCCUGGACGCCCAGGAGGACGGGGCCGCCCGUGAAGAGGCCCGGCCCGGCGUCACCCAGCACCCAGCACCCAGCACCCACCCGGGCGCCAUGCCGACCGUCUGCCACCCACAGUGCUUUUCUCCCGGUGCCAUUUCAGGGGGUCCCCCGGGCAGGGUGGGGGCCCCGUGUCGCUGUAAUCCCCCACACCCCCAUCCAUCCGUCUGUCCAGCGUUCAGCUGUGC
Molecule: long non-coding RNA, 644 nt
Organism: Erinaceus europaeus (western European hedgehog)
Lineage: Eukaryota; Metazoa; Chordata; Mammalia; Eulipotyphla; Erinaceidae
Exons: 3
Source: RefSeq, a predicted model, not a curated record